RNAcentral lists this ribosomal RNA (2929 nucleotides) under Salmonella enterica. RNAcentral describes it as "23S ribosomal RNA". It matches the Rfam family "Bacterial large subunit ribosomal RNA". Lineage: Bacteria; Pseudomonadati; Pseudomonadota; Gammaproteobacteria; Enterobacterales; Enterobacteriaceae. The record is from RNAcentral.
GGGUUGUGAGGUUAAGCGACUAAGCGUACACGGUGGAUGCCCUGGCAGUCAGAGGCGAUGAAGGACGUGCUAAUCUGCGAUAAGCGCCGGUAAGGUGAUAUGAACCGUUAUAACCGGCGAUUUCCGAAUGGGGAAACCCAGUGUGACUCGUCACACUAUCAUUAACUGAAUCCAUAGGUUAAUGAGGCGAACCGGGGGAACUGAAACAUCUAAGUACCCCGAGGAAAAGAAAUCAACCGAGAUUCCCCCAGUAGCGGCGAGCGAACGGGGAGGAGCCCAGAGCCUGAAUCAGCAUGUGUGUUAGUGGAAGCGUCUGGAAAGGCGCGCGAUACAGGGUGACAGCCCCGUACACAAAAGCGCAUGUGCUGUGAGCUCGAUGAGUAGGGCGGGACACGUGGUAUCCUGUCUGAAUAUGGGGGGACCAUCCUCCAAGGCUAAAUACUCCUGACUGACCGAUAGUGAACCAGUACCGUGAGGGAAAGGCGAAAAGAACCCCGGCGAGGGGAGUGAAAAAGAACCUGAAACCGUGUACGUACAAGCAGUGGGAGCACAGGUUUACCUGUGUGACUGCGUACCUUUUGUAUAAUGGGUCAGCGACUUAUAUUCUGUAGCAAGGUUAACCGUAUAGGGGAGCCGUAGGGAAACCGAGUCUUAACCGGGCGUUAAGUUGCAGGGUAUAGACCCGAAACCCGGUGAUCUAGCCAUGGGCAGGUUGAAGGUUGGGUAACACUAACUGGAGGACCGAACCGACUAAUGUUGAAAAAUUAGCGGAUGACCUGUGGCUGGGGGUGAAAGGCCAAUCAAACCGGGAGAUAGCUGGUUCUCCCCGAAAGCUAUUUAGGUAGCGCCUCGUGAAUUCAUCUCCGGGGGUAGAGCACUGUUUCGGCUAGGGGGCCAUCCCGGCUUACCAACCCGAUGCAAACUGCGAAUACCGGAGAAUGUUAUCACGGGAGACACACGGCGGGUGCUAACGUCCGUCGUGAAGAGGGAAACAACCCAGACCGCCAGCUAAGGUCCCAAAGUCAUGGUUAAGUGGGAAACGAUGUGGGAAGGCCCAGACAGCCAGGAUGUUGGCUUAGAAGCAGCCAUCAUUUAAAGAAAGCGUAAUAGCUCACUGGUCGAGUCGGCCUGCGCGGAAGAUGUAACGGGGCUAAACCAUGCACCGAAGCUGCGGCAGCGACGCUGAUGCGUUGUUGGGUAGGGGAGCGUUCUGUAAGCCUGUGAAGGUGGCCUGUGAGGGUUGCUGGAGGUAUCAGAAGUGCGAAUGCUGACAUAAGUAACGAUAAAGCGGGUGAAAAGCCCGCUCGCCGGAAGACCAAGGGUUCCUGUCCAACGUUAAUCGGGGCAGGGUGAGUCGACCCCUAAGGCGAGGCCGAAAGGCGUAGUCGAUGGGAAACGGGUUAAUAUUCCCGUACUUGGUGUUACUGCGAAGGGGGGACGGAGAAGGCUAUGUUGGCCGGGCGACGGUUGUCCCGGUUUAAGCGUGUAGGUGUGUGUUCCAGGUAAAUCCGGUUCACUUUAACACUGAGGCGUGAUGACGAGGCACUACGGUGCUGAAGCAACAAAUGCCCUGCUUCCAGGAAAAGCCUCUAAGCAUCAGGUAACAUCAAAUCGUACCCCAAACCGACACAGGUGGUCAGGUAGAGAAUACCAAGGCGCUUGAGAGAACUCGGGUGAAGGAACUAGGCAAAAUGGUGCCGUAACUUCGGGAGAAGGCACGCUGACACGUAGGUGAAGUGAUUUACUCAUGGAGCUGAAGUCAGUCGAAGAUACCAGCUGGCUGCAACUGUUUAUUAAAAACACAGCACUGUGCAAACACGAAAGUGGACGUAUACGGUGUGACGCCUGCCCGGUGCCGGAAGGUUAAUUGAUGGGGUCAGCGCAAGCGAAGCUCCUGAUCGAAGCCCCGGUAAACGGCGGCCGUAACUAUAACGGUCCUAAGGUAGCGAAAUUCCUUGUCGGGUAAGUUCCGACCUGCACGAAUGGCGUAAUGAUGGCCAGGCUGUCUCCACCCGAGACUCAGUGAAAUUGAACUCGCUGUGAAGAUGCAGUGUACCCGCGGCAAGACGGAAAGACCCCGUGAACCUUUACUAUAGCUUGACACUGAACAUUGAGCCUUGAUGUGUAGGAUAGGUGGGAGGCUUUGAAGCGUGGACGCCAGUCUGCAUGGAGCCGGCCUUGAAAUACCACCCUUUAAUGUUUGAUGUUCUAACGUGGACCCGUGAUCCGGGUUGCGGACAGUGUCUGGUGGGUAGUUUGACUGGGGCGGUCUCCUCCUAAAGAGUAACGGAGGAGCACGAAGGUUGGCUAAUCCUGGUCGGACAUCAGGAGGUUAGUGCAAUGGCAUAAGCCAGCUUGACUGCGAGCGUGACGGCGCGAGCAGGUGCGAAAGCAGGUCAUAGUGAUCCGGUGGUUCUGAAUGGAAGGGCCAUCGCUCAACGGAUAAAAGGUACUCCGGGGAUAACAGGCUGAUACCGCCCAAGAGUUCAUAUCGACGGCGGUGUUUGGCACCUCGAUGUCGGCUCAUCACAUCCUGGGGCUGAAGUAGGUCCCAAGGGUAUGGCUGUUCGCCAUUUAAAGUGGUACGCGAGCUGGGUUUAGAACGUCGUGAGACAGUUCGGUCCCUAUCUGCCGUGGGCGCUGGAGAACUGAGGGGGGCUGCUCCUAGUACGAGAGGACCGGAGUGGACGCAUCACUGGUGUUCGGGUUGUCAUGCCAAUGGCACUGCCCGGUAGCUAAAUGCGGAAGAGAUAAGUGCUGAAAGCAUCUAAGCACGAAACUUGCCCCGAGAUGAGUUCUCCCUGAGACUUAGAGUCUCCUGAAGGAACGUUGAAGACGACGACGUUGAUAGGCCGGGUGUGUAAGCGCAGCGAUGCGUUGAGCUAACCGGUACUAAUGAACCGUGAGGCUUAACCUUACAACGCCGAAG